CGGACGGGUGAGUAAUGUCUGGGAAACUGCCCGAUGAGGGGGAGUAACUACUGGAAACGGUAGCUAAUACCGCAUAACGUCGCAAGACCAAAGAGGGGGACCUUCGGGCCUCUUGCCAUCGGAUGUGCCCAGAUGGGAUUAGCUAGUAGGUGGGGUAAAGGCUCACUAGGCGACGAUCCCUAGCUGGUCUGAGAGGAUGACCAGCCACACUGGAACUGAGACACGGUCCAG
This 231-nucleotide ribosomal RNA is filed under the name uncultured bacterium. RNAcentral's name for it is "partial 16S ribosomal RNA". It matches the Rfam family "Bacterial small subunit ribosomal RNA", at positions 99 to 334 of the family's 1533-position model. The record is from RNAcentral.